AAACAUUAGCUAGUUUAGUCAUUUAGACUUAGAAGGAAUUAAGUAAGUACUCCAGUUCAUAGUAGUAGCAGGAUAGAAUGGUAAUAAAUCACCACAAAACUUUAUAAGAAAAAUAGUCUGUAACUAAAAAAUAAGCAAAAAUAAGUAAGAAAGAAAACUAAAAAAAUGAGCAUCAAAAUAUAUUUCCCAAAGCCAGGAACUUUGAAAGCUAUUGGACUUGUUUGCCUCUUUGUGCAUAUUUUAAUAGUAUUGGCAAAUUAUAGGACUGUACUUGACUGGAAAGGGAGAGAUGACAUCAGCAGGCUAAUUGUUGCCACAAGUGAUAGCUGAUGGUGAGAGACAGAUAACUGUUAAAUUCCAGCACAGGCACUGAAGAAGAUACUGGUCUACCAUGCCAUGUGGAGAUAAAGAAUACAAAACAGCCUGUAGUCCUUUGAAGGGUCGUGUGUGACAGUUCAGUUAAGUUGGCAUUGACCCAGCACUCUACUGCAGCUAUUUAAUGCCAGGGAUUUAAAAUUUUAGGUAUUUAGCUACUUAUUACUAAGUAACUUGUGAAACAUCUCCUAAUUGCACCCUUGAAUUUCACCUUAAUUCUGAUUCAUACCCAAAGAAUAGGAAUCAAGGAUAAGGUGUGGAGUAAGUAAAGAUGAAGCUACACGAUUUGGAUCACUGGGACAGAUACUAUAUAGAAUGAUACUUUUUUUUUCCAUAGUUGUCCACCUUAGAAAGGGCCCUCAGUAAUUUUAAACAAAAUGCCUGUUGGUUCUCUUUAGAGUUAGUUCACUUUUAUUUCAAGUGGGUUUUUUUCUCAGAUUCUCUGCUCUUCUUCCCACCCUCCUAACACAAAUUACAUUGGUCAAACAUUUAUUUCCAAUUGAUAAGUAGAUAAUGUCUGCUAUAAUAGAAUUUAAGUCUGUUUUUCAUUUGAGAAUCUGAAGGAUGAAUACCUGAUUUGUAAGUUUUAUUUCAUUUACUUUAUUUGAUUGUAUGUGUAUUAGCCACAGAAUGGAGGCAAAUUCAGCAUCUUUCUUUAACUCUAUGCUGUUUCUUUUAGAGGAAGUCCACAAAUGAAGGGGACACCCCAUUUUAAGGAAGAACAGUGUGCUCCAGCAUUAAAUUUAGAGAUGAGGAAAAUACUGGAUUUACAAGCACCCAUCAUGAGUUUGCAGUCUGUGUUGGAAGAUCUCCUGGUUGCUACUUCUGAUGGACUUCUUCAUCUUAUUCACUGGGAAGGAAUGACAAAUGGAAGGAAAGCCAUUAAUCUUUGCACAGUACCCUUUUCAGUAGACCUGCAGUCAUCGAGAGUAGGUUCAUUCCUGGGCUUCACAGACGUACACAUCAGAGACAUGGAAUACUGUGCCACACUUGAUGGGUUUGCUGUUGUAUUUAAUGAUGGUAAAGUUGGAUUUAUUACACCAGUGUCAAGUAGAUUUACUGCAGAGCAGCUUCAUGGAGUUUGGCCACAAGAUGUUGUUGACGGAACGUGUGUAGCAGUAAAUAACAAGUAUCGACUAAUGGCAUUUGGCUGUGUGAGUGGUUCUGUGCAGGUCUAUACAAUAGAUAACAGCACUGGAGCCAUGCUGCUAUCUCAUAAAUUAGAGCUAACAGCAAAACAGUAUCCUGACAUUUGGAAUAAAACAGGAGCUGUUAAAUUGAUGAGAUGGUCUCCUGACAAUAGUGUUGUAAUAGUGACCUGGGAAUACGGAGGCCUUUCUUUAUGGAGUGUUUUUGGAGCACAGCUGAUUUGUACACUUGGAGGAGAUUUUGCUUAUAGGUCUGAUGGCACCAAAAAAGAUCCCCUUAAGAUCAACUCUAUGAGCUGGGGUGCAGAAGGCUAUCACUUAUGGGUAAUCAGCGGAUUUGGUUCUCAAAACACUGAAAUUGAGUCUGACCUCAGGAGUGUAGUUAAACAGCCCAGCAUCCUGUUAUUUCAGUUUAUUAAGAGUGUACUCACUGUAAACCCUUGUAUGAGUAACCAAGAGCAGGUGUUGCUUCAGGGUGAGGAUCGCUUGUACUUGAACUGUGGAGAGGCUUCACAAACCCAGAAUCCCAGGAGUUCUUCAACACACUCUGAGCAUAAGCCCAGUCGAGAAAAGAGCCCAUUUGCAGAUGGAGGUUUAGAGUCUCAGGGAUUAAGCACUUUACUUGGACAUCGGCAUUGGCAUGUUGUACAGCCAUUUCUCUGCUAUUUUCAUUUCCCCAUACUUUGAACUAUUCAUUCUACACUGACCUAGCAUCAAUGCCAGUUCUGCCUAGCCAGGUCUGUGUUACCAGAGAGCCAAGUAGAGCAGAGGAUCAAAGAAGGAGCAAAAUAUGAUCGUGACAGGUGGCUUAGCCUGGUGGAAUGAUUUUAUGGUCCUUGCGUGUUAUAACAUAAAUGACCGUCAAGAAGAGCUUAGAGUAUACUUGCGAACAUCAAAUCUGGACAAUGCCUUUGCUCAUGUCACCAAAGCACAAGCAGAAACAUUACUGCUUAGUGUCUUCCAGGACAUGGUAAUAGUAUUUAGAGCAGACUGUUCAAUAUGCCUUUACAGUAUUGAAAGAAAAUCUGAUGGUCCAAAUACUACUGCUGGUAUUCAAGUUCUUCAGGAGGUUUCCAUGUCACGCUACAUUCCUCACCCUUUCCUGGUGGUAUCUGUCACUCUGACAUCAGUGAGUACAGAGAAUGGAAUCACCUUGAAAAUGCCACAGCAGGCUCGUGGUGCAGAGAGCAUUAUGUUAAACCUGGCAGGACAGCUCAUCAUGAUGCAGAGGGACAGGUCAGGCCCACAGAUCCGGGAGAAGGACAGUAACCCUAAUAACCAAAGGAAACUUCUGCCAUUCUGUCCUCCUGUUGUACUAGCCCAGUCUGUUGAAAAUGUCUGGACAACGUGUCGAGCAAAUAAACAGAAACGUCACCUUCUGGAGGCCCUCUGGCUGAGCUGUGGUGGUGCAGGGAUGAAAGUCUGGCUCCCUCUCUUCCCUAGGGAUCACCGCAAGCCCCAUUCCUUCUUGUCCCAGCGGAUCAUGCUGCCUUUCCACAUCAACAUUUACCCGCUAGCUGUUCUGUUUGAAGAUGCUUUAGUCCUUGGUGCUGUCAAUGACACUUUGCUCUAUGAUUCUUUAUAUACUCGGAACAAUGCUAGAGAACAGCUGGAGGUGCUCUUCCCUUUCUGUGUUGUGGAGAGAACCUCUCAGAUCUACCUCCACCACAUUCUACGUCAACUUCUGGUCAGAAACCUUGGGGAGCAAGCCUUGCUCUUGGCCCAGUCCUGUGCCACAUUACCUUACUUCCCUCAUGUGCUGGAGCUCAUGCUCCAUGAAGUACUGGAAGAAGAAGCUACCUCACGGGAGCCCAUUCCCGACCCUCUGCUUCCCACUGUGGCUAAAUUUAUCACUGAGUUCCCCCUCUUCCUGCAGACAGUUGUCCAUUGUGCCAGGAAGACCGAAUAUGCCCUGUGGAAUUACCUUUUUGCAGCUGUUGGAAACCCUAAGGACUUGUUUGAGGAAUGUUUGAUGGCUCAGGAUUUGGACACAGCUGCCUCUUACCUUAUUAUCUUACAGAAUAUGGAAGUCCCUGCAGUAAGUAGGCAACAUGCUACCCUUCUAUUCAACACAGCACUAGAACAAGGCAAGUGGGACCUUUGUCGACACAUGAUUCGAUUUCUUAAAGCCAUUGGCUCUGGAGAAUCUGAGACACCUCCAUCCACACCCACAGCUCAGGAACCCAGUUCAAGUGGUGGAUUUGAGUUCUUCAGGAAUCGAAGCAUCAGUUUAUCCCAGUCAGCUGAAAAUGUUCCUGCCAGUAAAUUCAGUUUACAGAAAACACUAAGUAUGCCAUCUGGUCCCUCUGGAAAAAGAUGGAGCAAAGACAGUGACUGUGCUGAGAACAUGUAUAUUGACAUGAUGCUCUGGAGACAUGCUCGGCGCCUCUUAGAAGAUGUGAGGUUAAAGGACCUUGGCUGCUUUGCAGCCCAGCUGGGCUUUGAACUAAUUA
This 3976-nucleotide small RNA is filed under the name Pan troglodytes (chimpanzee). RNAcentral's name for it is "retained intron". Lineage: Eukaryota; Metazoa; Chordata; Mammalia; Primates; Hominidae. The record is from RNAcentral.